This 535-nucleotide ribosomal RNA is filed under the name uncultured bacterium. Its description in RNAcentral is "bacterial SSU rRNA". It matches the Rfam family "Bacterial small subunit ribosomal RNA", at positions 8 to 525 of the family's 1533-position model. The record is from RNAcentral.
AGAGUUUGAUCCUGGCUCAGAACGAACGUUAGCGGCGCGCCUAACACAUGCAAGUCGAGCGAGAAGGAAGCAAUUCCUGUAAAGCGGCGCACGGGUGAGUAACACGUAGGUAAUCUGCCUCGAGGUGGUGGAUAACCUUCCGAAAGGAGGGCUAAUACAGCAUGAGACCACGUCUUCGAAAGAGGAUGAGGUUAAAGCGGGCCUCUAUACAUAAGCUCGCGCCAUGAGAUGAGCCUGCGGCCCAUCAGGUAGUUGGUAGGGUAACGGCCUACCAAGCCAAAGACGGGUAGCUGGUCUGAGAGGAUGAUCAGCCACACUGGAACUGAGACACGGUCCAGACUCCUACGGGAGGCAGCAGUGGGGAAUCUUGCGCAAUGGGCGAAAGCCUGACGCAGCGACGCCGCGUGAGUGAUGAAGGCCUUCGGGUUGUAAAGCUCCGUGGAGGGGGACGAAUAAGGGCUGGUGAAUAUCCAACUUGAUGACGGUACCCCUUUAGCAAGCACCGGCUAACUCUGUGCCAGCAGCCGCGGUAAUA